AACGAACGCUGGCGGCAUUCCUAACACAUGCAAGUCGAACGAUACCUUCGGGUCUAGUUGCGCACGGGUGCGUAACGCGUGGGAACCUGCCCUUAGGUUCUGAAUAACUCCCCGAAAGGGGUGCUAAUACCGGAUAAUGUCUUCGGACCAAAGAUUUAUCGCCUUUGGAUGGGCCCGCGUUGGAUUAGCUAGUUGGUAGGGUAAAAGCCUACCAAGGCGACGAUCCAUAGCUGGUCUGAGAGGAUGAUCAGCCACACUGGGACUGAGACACGGCCCAGACUCCUACGGGAGGAAGCAGUGGGGAAUAUUGGACAAUGGGCGAAAGCCUGAUCCAGCAAUGCCGCGUGAGUGAUGAAGGACUUAGGGUUGUAAAGCUCUUUUACCCGGGAUGAUAAUGACAGUACCGGGAGAAUAAGCUCCGGCUAACUCCGUG
RNAcentral lists this ribosomal RNA (433 nucleotides) under uncultured bacterium. RNAcentral's name for it is "partial 16S ribosomal RNA". It matches the Rfam family "Bacterial small subunit ribosomal RNA", at positions 29 to 507 of the family's 1533-position model. The record is from RNAcentral.